GAGAGGACUAAACCAGGCACAAUUAUCCAUUUUGGGCACAGCUGUUGGCUAUACACUCAGAAAUCCGGUGGCCAAAAUUGCCUCAAGAUACCAAAUUGUUUCUGAGGAUGGCAAGAUUUAAUUAGCAUUCUGAAAUUUCCUUGAAACACCCAAGAAUGGUUAGUAUGCCAGGGGAAGAAAGCAGGAUCAUAAUCCAAGGCCAAAGAGGACUUUGUUUACAGCUGCCCUGACCAUAUUCACAGGCAGUUUGCUUGCUCAAGCCAACAGAAUGAGGAAGUGAAUAUUAUGUCAUUUCUGAGCCUUGACUUCAAAAGGCCUUGUGUUAAUCCUGCCCAGCUGGUAAAUGAAUACGUGUGGCCAAGUGGCCUCCUGUCUAUAGUGACAGCCAGACCACUGGGGAGAUAUAAGGGAAGCCAUACUAGACCAACAAGGACUCAGGGCCAGCCAACUGCCUUUGAUGAGCAAGUCUGGCCCAAACUGGAUCAUGUGAGCACAGCUAUACAGCUGAAGAGUGAAUUCAGCAAUGAGAAGAAAUCCUCAUUAUUUUAUACUUCUGUGUUGAAGGUACUAUUUGUUAUGGAGCAUUAACUUAUGGCUAUAAAUAUUUAUUAUUUGAAUGACUUCAUAAUUUACUAAGGUGACACCAUUUUUCAUUUCCCCCAUCUCC
Non-coding RNA from Heterocephalus glaber (naked mole-rat), 667 nucleotides. The record is from RefSeq and is a predicted model, not a curated record. Lineage: Eukaryota; Metazoa; Chordata; Mammalia; Rodentia; Bathyergidae.